This 605-nucleotide long non-coding RNA is filed under the name Astyanax mexicanus (Mexican tetra). RNAcentral's name for it is "lncRNA (ENSAMXG00005003369.1)". The record is from RNAcentral. Lineage: Eukaryota; Metazoa; Chordata; Actinopteri; Characiformes; Acestrorhamphidae.
CCUCCCUCCUUUCCUCCUCCUCCUCCCUCUCCUCCCACAAAGCUUUGCAGGAGAGCUACAAUCAAAUUUAGGACUUUUUUCACGUUUGGGCGCCAUUUUCGAUUGGACUGGAGGAUAUCUCAGGCCUGUUCCAAAGCCUCUCUGCUUCUCCUUGAGUUCUCCUGUAGGUGGCGCUCCACCCUCACUCAAGUUUUCAUGGUUUGCUGCUUUCCUGCCUUUCAGGAUAUAAAACUGGUGAAAGUGUUUAAUUUAAUUACGAAUCUGCUGCUUCCGCAGGCUUUUCUUUUCUUUUUUUUCUGGCACAUCUGAAAUCUUGAAGUUCACUGCUGUGGAGUUGUAGCUGCAGGAUCUUGGAGUUCAAGUCUGAGGCUGCUGAGCACGGAGACCACCACUCCUUCAGUAAUAUUUACUGAUGAUCAGAAGGUCUCCACAUAUUUGGUAUACCCACCUUGAUCACAGCUCAAGCACUGUCUAGCAGUGUGGGCGAUAUGGCCCUAAAAUCGUUUUUGUGCUAACUGUGUUCUUUUGUCUAUGACAAAACAUUUAAAUUUUUAAGAAUAUACUACUGAAAUAAAAUGAUCACUAAGUUUUAAUUAGUAUAAAUA